Molecule: small RNA, 84 nt
Filed under: Klebsiella pneumoniae
Lineage: Bacteria; Pseudomonadati; Pseudomonadota; Gammaproteobacteria; Enterobacterales; Enterobacteriaceae
Also listed under: 1 other name
Description: partial RtT sRNA
Rfam family: RtT RNA
About the family: This family represents a bacterial cis-regulatory element known as RtT RNA.
Source: RNAcentral
CGAGCGAAGCGAGAGAACGUUGCCGCAGGCAACGGCCCGAAGGGCGAGGCGCUUUAGCGCCGAGUAAUCCUUCCCCCACCACUG